GAUGAAGAACGCAGCGAAAUGCGAUAAGUAAUGUGAAUUGCAGAAUUCAGUGAAUCAUCGAAUCUUUGAACGCACAUUGCGCCCGCCAGUAUUCUGGCGGGCAUGCCUGUUCGAGCGUCAUUUCAACCCUCAGGCCCCCAGUGCCUGGUGUUGGGGAUCGGCCCAGCCUUCCUGUAAGGCCGCCGGCCCCGAAAUCUAGUGGCGGUCUCGCUGUAGUCCUCCUCUGCGUAGUAGCACAACCUCGCAGUUGGAACGCGGCGGUGGCCAUGCCGCUAAACACCCCACUUCUGAAAGUUGACCUCGGAUCAGGUAGGAAUACCCGCUGAACUUAAGCAUAUCAAUAAGCGGAGGA
Molecule: unclassified non-coding RNA, 352 nt
Filed under: soil metagenome
Description: partial contains 5.8S ribosomal RNA, internal transcribed spacer 2, and large subunit ribosomal RNA
Rfam family: 5.8S ribosomal RNA (bases 1-120)
Source: RNAcentral